UGCCCGCCUUGGGGCUCGAACCCAAGACCACAAGGUAAUGAGCCUCUAUGGUGUGCUACCUGGGCAGUCCUACCUUUCCAAACAGUGAUCUCAGCCCCACUCGUCCUAAAUCGUGGGGCUAGGAUGGCUGCAGGAAAGGCAAGUUUACUCAGGUAGCAAACAAACCAUGUGCUAAGAACAUUGAGCUCUACCAACUGAGCUAGGCGGGC
This 209-nucleotide transfer RNA is filed under the name Triticum aestivum (bread wheat). RNAcentral describes it as "tRNA_LysCTT". Lineage: Eukaryota; Viridiplantae; Streptophyta; Magnoliopsida; Poales; Poaceae. The record is from RNAcentral.